AGAGUUUGAUCCUGGCUCAGGACGAACGCUGGCGGCGUGCCUAACACAUGCAAGUCGAACGAGAAUUGCUUACACCGAGUGCUUGCACUCACCGUAGGGAAUUCGAGUGGCGGACGGGUGAGUAACACGUGGGUAACCUGCCUAUCAGAGGGGGAUAACACUUGGAAACAGGUGCUAAUACCGCAUAAUAUUGAAAAGCGCAUGCUUUUCAAUUAAAAGGCGCUUCUGGUGUCACUGAUAGAUGGACCCGCGGCGUAUUAGCUAGUUGGUGAGGUAACGGCCUACCAAGGCAAUGAUACGUAGCCGAGUUGAGAGACUGAUCGGCCACAAUGGGACUGAGACACGGCCCAUACUCCUACGGGAGGCAGCAGUAGGGAAUCUUCCACAAUGGGCGCAAGCCUGAUGGAGCAACGCCGCGUGCGUGAAGAAGGUCUUCGGAUCGUAAAGCGCUGUUGUUAGAGAAGAACACGGAUAAGAGUAACUGUUUAUGCGUUGACGGUAUCUAACCAGAAAGUCACGGCUAACUACGUGCCAGCAGCCGCGGUAAUACGUAGGUGGCAAGCGUUGUCCGGAUUUAUUGGGCGUAAAGGGAACGCAGGCUGUUUUUUAAGUCCGAUGUGAAAGCCUUCGGCUUAACCGAAGAAGUGCAUUGGAAACUGGGAGACUUGAGUGCAGAAGAGGAGAGUGGAACUCCAUGUGUAGCGGUGAAAUGCGUAGAUAUAUGGAAGAACACCAGUGGCGAAAGCGGCUCUCUGGUCUGUAACUGACGCUGAGGUUCGAAAGCAUGGGUAGCGAACAGGAUUAGAUACCCUGGUAGUC
RNAcentral lists this ribosomal RNA (819 nucleotides) under uncultured bacterium. RNAcentral's name for it is "bacterial SSU rRNA". It matches the Rfam family "Bacterial small subunit ribosomal RNA", at positions 8 to 795 of the family's 1533-position model. The record is from RNAcentral.